Non-coding RNA from Lepisosteus oculatus (spotted gar), 120 nucleotides. Lineage: Eukaryota; Metazoa; Chordata; Actinopteri; Semionotiformes; Lepisosteidae. The record is from Rfam.
ACCAGCAGCCAUAUCACUCUGCAACUUACAACUAGCAACCCACUGAAGCUAAGCAGGUGUGAGCCUGGUUAGUACCUGGAUGUGAGACAUCCUGGGAAAAAAACUAAGUUGCUGCUGGAA